RNAcentral lists this ribosomal RNA (320 nucleotides) under uncultured eukaryote. RNAcentral's name for it is "partial 18S ribosomal RNA". It matches the Rfam family "Eukaryotic small subunit ribosomal RNA", at positions 1470 to 1796 of the family's 1831-position model. The record is from RNAcentral.
CCCCUAGAUGUUCUGGGCCGCACGCGCGCUACACUGAACAGUUCAACAAGUCUUAACCUUGGCCGAUAGGUCUGGGUAAUCUUUGAACGCUGUUCGUGAUUGGGAUAGACCUUUGCAAUUAUGGAUCUUCAACGAGGAAUUCCUAGUAAACGCAAGUCAUCAGCUUGCAUUGAUUACGUCCCUGCCCUUUGUACACACCGCCCGUCGCACCUACCGAUUGAAUGGUCCGGUGAAAUCUCGGGACGGCGGCUUGGUCGCUUGCGUCCGACUGCUGAAACUUGAUUAAACCAUAUCAUUUAGAGGAAGGUGAANUCGUANCA